Molecule: non-coding RNA, 72 nt
Organism: Dama dama (fallow deer)
Lineage: Eukaryota; Metazoa; Chordata; Mammalia; Artiodactyla; Cervidae
Source: the annotation of a RefSeq genome assembly
UCCCUGGUGGUCUAGUGGUUAGGAUUCCGGGCUUUCACUCCUGUGGCCCAGGUUCAAUCCCUUGUCGGGGAA